Molecule: ribosomal RNA, 253 nt
Filed under: uncultured bacterium
Lineage: Bacteria
Description: partial 16S ribosomal RNA
Rfam family: Bacterial small subunit ribosomal RNA
Source: RNAcentral
UACGUAGGGGGCUAGCGUUGUCCGGAAUCAUUGGGCGUAAAGCGCGCGUAGGCGGCCCUGUUAGUCCGCUGUAAAAGUCAAAGGCUCAACCUUUGAAUGCCGGUGGAUACUGCAGGGCUAGAGUCCGGAAGAGGCGAGUGGAAUUCCUGGUGUAGCGGUGGAAUGCGCAGAUAUCGGGAAGAACACCCGUGGCGAAGGCGGCUCUCUGGAACGCAACUGACGCUGAGACGCGAAAGCGUGGGGAGCAAACAGG